RNAcentral lists this ribosomal RNA (497 nucleotides) under uncultured bacterium. Its description in RNAcentral is "partial 16S ribosomal RNA". It matches the Rfam family "Bacterial small subunit ribosomal RNA", at positions 28 to 507 of the family's 1533-position model. The record is from RNAcentral.
GAUGAACGCUGGCGGCGUGCCUAAUACAUGCAAGUCGAGCGAACAGACGAGGAGCUUGCUCCCCUGACGUUAGCGGCGGACGGGUGAGUAACACGUGGAUAACCUACCUAUAAGACUGGGAUAACUUCGGGAAACCGGAGCUAAUACCGGAUAAUAUAUUGAACCGCAUGGUUCAAUAGUGAAAGACGGUUUUGCUGUCACUUAUAGCUGGAUCCGCGCCGCAUUAGCUAGUUGGUAAGGUAACGGAUUACCAAGGCAACGAUGCGUAGCCGACCUGCGAGGGUGAUCGGCCACACUGGAACUGGGACACGGCCCCGACUCCUACGGGGGGCAGCCGUAGGGAAUCUUCCGCAAUGGGCGAAAGCCUGACGGCGCCCCGCCGGGUGAGUGAUGAAGGUCUUCGGAUCGUAAAACUCUGUUAUUAGGGAAGAACAAAUGUGUAAGUAACUAUGCACGUCUUGACGGUACCUAAUCAGAAAGCCACGGCUAACUACGUG